Molecule: non-coding RNA, 104 nt
Organism: Tricholoma furcatifolium
Lineage: Eukaryota; Fungi; Basidiomycota; Agaricomycetes; Agaricales; Tricholomataceae
Source: the annotation of a GenBank genome assembly
GCCUUCUUGGCUCAGUUGGCUAGAGCGCAGGUCUCAUAUUUCUAAUAUGACGCAGUCGUGACUGUGACAUCCUGAGGUCGCAAGUUCGAGCCUUGCAGAGGGCA